This 1494-nucleotide ribosomal RNA is filed under the name uncultured Bordetella sp. RNAcentral's name for it is "partial 16S-23S ribosomal RNA intergenic spacer". It matches the Rfam family "Bacterial small subunit ribosomal RNA". Lineage: Bacteria; Pseudomonadati; Pseudomonadota; Betaproteobacteria; Burkholderiales; Alcaligenaceae. The record is from RNAcentral.
GGUUCGAUUCUGGCUCAAGAUUGAACGCUGGCGGGAUGCUUUACACAUGCAAGUCGAACGGCAGCACGGACUUCCGGUCUGGUGGCGAGUGGCGAACGGGUGAGUAAUGUAUCGGAACGUGCCCUAGUAGCGGGGGAUAACUACUGCCAGAAAGCGUAGCUAAUACCGCAUACGCCCUUCGGGGAAAAGCGGGGACCUUCGGGCCUCGCACUAUUAGAGCGGCCGAUAUCGGAUUGGCUAGUUGGUGGGGGUAACGGCUCCGCAAGGCGACGAUCCGUAGCUGGUUUGAGAGGACGACCAGCCACCACUGGGACUGAGACACGGCCCAGACUCCUACGGGAGGCAGCAGUGGGGAAUUUUGGACAAUGGGGAAACCUGAUCCAGCCAUCCCGCGUGUGCGAUGAAGGCCUUCGGGUUGUAAAGCACUUUUGGCAGGAAAGAAACGGCACGGGAUAAUACCCCGUGCAACUGACAGUACCUGCAGAAUAAGCACCGGCUAACUACGUGCCAGCAGCCGCGGUAAUACGUAGGGUGCAAGCGUUAAUCGGAAUUACUGGGCGUAAAGCGUGCGCAGGCGGUUCGGAAAGAAAGAUGUGAAAUCCCAGAGCUUAACUUUGGAACUGCAUUUUUAACUACCGAGCUAGAGUGUGUCAGAGGGAGAGUGGAAUUCCGCGCGUGUAGCAGUGAAAUGCGUAGAUAUGCGGAGGAACACCGAUAGCGAAGAACAGCCUCACAAAUUAACACUGACGCUCAUGCACGAAAGCAUUAAGGAGCAAACAGGAUUAGAUACCCUGGUAGUCCACGCCCUAAACGAUGUCAACUAGCUGUUGAGGCCUUCGGGCCUUGGUAGCGCAACUAACGGCGUGAAGUUGACCGCCUGGGAGUACGGUCGCAAGAUUAAAACUCAAAGGAAUUGGCGGGGACCCGCACAAGCGGUGGAUGUGGAUUAAUUCGAUGCAACAUGAAAACCUUACCUACCCUUGACCAUGUCUGGAAUCCCGAAGAGAUUUGGGAGUGCUCGCAAGAGAACCGGAACACAGGUGCUGCAUGGCUGUCGUCAGCUCGUGUCGUGAGAUGUUGGGUUAAGUCCCGCAACGAGCGCAACCCUUGUCAUUAGUUGCUACGAAAGGGCACUCUAAUGAGACUGCCGGUGACAAGCCGGAGGAAGGUGGGGAUGACGUCAAGUCCUCAUGGCCCAUAUGGGUAGGGCUUCACACGUCAUACAAUGGUCGGGACAGAGGUCGCCAACCCGCGAGAGAGCCAAUCCCAGAAACCCGAUCGUAGUCCGGAUCGCAGUCUGCAACUCGACUGCGUGAAGUCGGAAUCGCUAGUAAUCGCGGAUCAGCAUGUCGCGGUGAAUACGUUCCCGAGGUCUUGUACACACCGCCCGUCACACCAUGGGAAUUGGGUUUUACCAGAAGUAGUUAGCCUAACCGUAAGGAGGGCGAUUACCACGGUAGGAUUCUGACUGGGGUGAAGUCGUAACAAAAUUAG